GAAGCGUGCCUGAAAGCUAGGGGCCUCCUUGAUAGGGAGAUUCAUAGGGGUUCAAACCCCCUCACUUCCU
This 70-nucleotide transfer RNA is filed under the name Kaloula sp. NE Mindanao. RNAcentral describes it as "tRNA-Ile". It matches the Rfam family "tRNA". Rfam says of the family: Transfer RNA (tRNA) molecules are approximately 80 nucleotides in length. Lineage: Eukaryota; Metazoa; Chordata; Amphibia; Anura; Microhylidae. The record is from RNAcentral.